Long non-coding RNA from Gasterosteus aculeatus aculeatus (three-spined stickleback), 592 nucleotides. The record is from Ensembl. NCBI's taxonomy places the organism in Eukaryota, Metazoa, Chordata, Actinopteri, Perciformes, Gasterosteidae.
CGCUAGCGCGGCAGAAUAUCAGCGCGCGGGCCGCUGAAUGUUAAUGCGCGUUGUUAGCUGAUGAUUUACGUCGCUUAUACUUCAUUACAUGAGUUUAAUAUGAGUCUUGGUGGGGUCGCCCUUCCCCUUCCUGCCCGCCCAAUGGCCCGCUUGAUGAAUGGGAGGAGAGAGGGUGGAGGAGAGAGGAAGGAGGGUGGAGGACGCAGAAGCGGAAAUUAGUGGAGGCUUGUUCCCCGUUCUUGGCCCCAUGUUAUGCUCCCCGGCACUGAAGUCGGUACUGAUGCGGCGCCAACUUGGCGCUUCAAAGAAAGCACAAGGGAUACAAACGCAGGCCACAAUCCCGCUUUGUUUAUAAGUAUGUAUUGUCAAAGGAAAGCAACAGAGCUUGGGAGUCUGCAGGAAGUGUUUAAAGUGCUGACGGUGUUUCAGACACGUGACGCCUGGAAGCAAACAGGAAGUCCUUAACCUGCAUAAAAAACAACCUCUUGUAUUGCACCAAUUCACCAGGUCAAACUCCUCUGUGUGUAACAUAUGUGGCAAUAAAUGGCUUCCGAUUCUGAUUCUGAUUAAAAAUAAUCCCACUGUCUUUUAA